Long non-coding RNA from Maniola jurtina (meadow brown), 91 nucleotides. RefSeq lists it as uncharacterized. The record is from RefSeq and is a predicted model, not a curated record. The transcript is spliced from 3 exons. NCBI's taxonomy places the organism in Eukaryota, Metazoa, Arthropoda, Insecta, Lepidoptera, Nymphalidae.
CGAAAAUCGUAAUCGACAGCAAAUUCUGCCCCUUGAUUGGUUGAAUUCGCUGUUCACAUUUUUUUCACAGCCUGUAUCAAGGAGAUUUUGC